UCAUUAGUAGGUGCUUAGUGGCUAGAGCGUCCGCCUCUGAUGCUGGAGGUCGAGGGUUCAAACCCGGACCAAGUAAU
Non-coding RNA from Potamilus streckersoni, 77 nucleotides. NCBI's taxonomy places the organism in Eukaryota, Metazoa, Mollusca, Bivalvia, Unionida, Unionidae. The record is from the annotation of a GenBank genome assembly.